Molecule: ribosomal RNA, 661 nt
Filed under: Phymaturus mallimaccii
Lineage: Eukaryota; Metazoa; Chordata; Lepidosauria; Squamata
Description: partial 12S ribosomal RNA
Rfam family: Bacterial small subunit ribosomal RNA
Source: RNAcentral
GGGAAACCAAAAAUCCCCAAAAACACAAAGUUUUGGUCCUAAACUUGCUGCUAUUUUUGAUCAAAAUUAUACAUGCAAGCAUCUGCACGCCAGUGAGAAUGCCCUAACUUACACUUAAAAGGAGCAGGUAUCAGGCACGACCUGUCAGCCCAAAACACCUUGCUAUGCCACACCCACAUGGGUACUCAGCAGUAAUUGAUAUUAAGCAAUGAGUAAAAGCCACAUUAAGCUCGACUUAGUUAUGAUCACCCGGGCCGGUUAACCUCGUGCCAGCCACCGCGGUUAUACGAAGGGCCCAAAACAGCAGACACCGGCGUAAAUUGUGACUAGAGACACCACCUUAAACAAGAAGAAAUAAACCACACCCUAACCGUAAAACAUAGGCUAAAUGAAGCCCCCCACUCUUCUUACACAAGGUUGCUUGAACCCACGAAAACUAAGAAACAAACUAGGAUUAGACACCCUACUAUGCUUAGAUGUAAACAAGACACUACACAACUAAAGUGUCCGCCAGAGAAUUACAAGCGAAAAGCUUAAAACUCAAAGGACUUGGCGGUGCUCCGUACUCAACUUAGAGGAGCCUGUCCUAUAAUCGAUAUUCCACGAUAAACCCUACCAUCUUUCGCCAACCCAGCCUAUAUACCGCCGUCGAAAACUUACC